This 319-nucleotide ribosomal RNA is filed under the name uncultured eukaryote. RNAcentral describes it as "partial 18S ribosomal RNA". It matches the Rfam family "Eukaryotic small subunit ribosomal RNA", at positions 1470 to 1796 of the family's 1831-position model. The record is from RNAcentral.
CCCUUAGAUGUCCUGGGCCGCACGCGUGCUACACUGACGCCUCCAGCGAGCACUUUCCAGCCCCGAGAGGCGGCUGGUAAUCAGCAAUAGGCGUCGUGAUGGGGAUAGAUCUUUGGAAUUAUGGAUCUUGAACGAGGAAUGCCUAGUAAGCGCAGGUCAUUAGCCUGCGCUGAUUAAGUCCCUGCCCUUUGUACACACCGCCCGUCGCUCCUACCGAUUUCGAGUGGUCCGGCGAAUCUUUCGGACUGCGCGCGGCCUUGAGUCGUGUCGCGGAAAGUCAGGUAAACCUUAUCACUUAGAGGAAGGAGAAGUCGUAACA